GACGAACGCUGGCGGCGUGCCUAAUACAUGCAAGUUGAGCGCUGAAGGUUGGUACUUGUACCAACUGGAUGAGCAGCGAACGGGUGAGUAACGCGUGGGGAAUCUGCCUUUGAGCGGGGGACAACAUUUGGAAACGAAUGCUAAUACCGCAUAAAAACAUUAAACACAAGUUUUAAGUUUGAAGGAUGCAAUUGCAUCACUCAAAGAUGAUCCCGCGUUGUAUUAGCUAGUUGGUGAGGUAAAGGCUCACCAAGGCGAUGAUACAUAGCCGACCUGAGAGGGUGAUCGGCCACAGUGGGACUGAGACACGGCCCAAACUCCUACGGGAGGCAGCAGUAGGGAAUCUUCGGCAAUGGACGAAAGUCUGACCGAGCAACGCCGCGUGAGUGAAGAAGGGUGUCGGAUCGUAAAACUCUGUUGGUAGAGAAGAACGUUGGUGAGAGUGGAAAGCUCAUCAAGUGACGGUAACUACCCAGAAAGGGACGGCUAACUACGUG
This 497-nucleotide ribosomal RNA is filed under the name uncultured bacterium. RNAcentral describes it as "partial 16S ribosomal RNA". It matches the Rfam family "Bacterial small subunit ribosomal RNA", at positions 28 to 507 of the family's 1533-position model. The record is from RNAcentral.